RNAcentral lists this ribosomal RNA (300 nucleotides) under uncultured Candidatus Portiera sp. Its description in RNAcentral is "bacterial SSU rRNA". It matches the Rfam family "Bacterial small subunit ribosomal RNA", at positions 115 to 416 of the family's 1533-position model. Lineage: Bacteria; Pseudomonadati; Pseudomonadota; Gammaproteobacteria; Johnevansiales (SeqCode); Johnevansiaceae (SeqCode). The record is from RNAcentral.
GCGUAGGAAUCUACCUUUCAGUGGGGGAUAGCUCGGGGAAACUCGAAUUAAUACCGCAUAUACCCUUCGGGGGAAAGGGGGCCUCUCCUUGGAAGCUCUCGCUGUUAGAUGAGCCUGCGUGAGAUUAGCUUGUUGGUAAGGUAAUGGCUUACCAAGGCUACGAUCUCUAGCUGGUCUGAGAGGACGAUCAGCCACACUGGGACUGAGACACGGCCCAGACUCCUACGGGAGGCAGCAGUAGGGAAUAUUGGACAAUGGGGGAAACCCUGAUCCAGGCAUGCCGCGUGUGUGAAGAAGGCC